Molecule: long non-coding RNA, 355 nt
Filed under: Rattus norvegicus (Norway rat)
Lineage: Eukaryota; Metazoa; Chordata; Mammalia; Rodentia; Muridae
Description: long non-coding RNA NONRATT019568
Source: RNAcentral
CUGGCUACAAGCGAGGCCUCCGGAACCAAAGAAAGCACACGGCUCUUCUUAAAAUCGAAGGUGUUUAUGCCCGAAAUGAAACUGAGUUCUGCUUAGGCAAGAGGUGUGCUUAUGUGUACAAAGCAAAAAACAAUACAGUGACUCCUGGGGGCAAACCAAACAAAAUCAGAGUGGUCUGGGGAAAAGUAACUCGGGUCCAUGGAAAACAGUGGUAUGGGUCGCGCCAAAUUCCGAAGCAACCUUCCUGCAAAGGCCAUUGGACACAGAAUCUGUGUGAUGCUGUACCCAUCCCAGAUUUAAACUAAUGGAGAGUAAAUAAAUAAAAGUAGAUUUGUGCUCUUGUUUAAAAAAAAAA